Long non-coding RNA from Vidua chalybeata, 298 nucleotides. RefSeq lists it as uncharacterized. NCBI's taxonomy places the organism in Eukaryota, Metazoa, Chordata, Aves, Passeriformes, Viduidae. The transcript has 3 exons. The record is from RefSeq and is a predicted model, not a curated record.
CAGGAACACUGGUGCCGUGGGGCAGGGUGUAAGGCAGGCACUUCGGAGUCGCCGUUCCCUGCUUCAGCAGUUGCUGACAGGUCUCAAAGUGGAUAUAGCUUUUUCCACCUGCAAUCAAAUGUAAUAAACCAUCUUCACUGCAGAAGUCAAAUUCCUGGAAAAAAAAGAAGUUGGAAGCUCACACUUACACCAUAAAACCUUGUUUAUUGCACCCAUCAGUCUUGGAAGAUAUGCCCCACAAUGGGGUUUGGUAAAGCCAUUACAAGACUACCAAGGAGAAAAAAUACAGAGAAUUAAC